AGAGUUGUAUCCUGGCUCAGGAUGAACGCUGGCGGUAUGCCUAACACAUGCAAGUCGUACGAGAGUUUUUAACUCUAGUGGCGGACGGGUGAGUAACACGUGAGAAUUUGCCUUUAGGAGGGGGAUAACGAUUGGAAACGAAUGCUAAUACCCCAUAUGCUUUCGAGUGAAAUGGAUUUAUAUUUAUCCGCCUAGAGAGAAGCUCGCGGCUGAUUAGCUUGUUGGUAAGGUAAGAGCUUACCAAGGCGACGAUCAGUAUCUGGUUUGAGAGGACGAUCAGACACACUGGAACUGAGACACGGUCCAGACUCCUACGGGAGGCAGCAGUGGGGAAUUUUCCGCAAUGGGCGAAAGCCUGACGGAGCAAUACCGCGUGAGGGAAGACUGCCUAUGGGUUGUAAACCUCUUUUUUCAGGGAGGAAUCAAUGACGUGUACCUGAAGAAUAAGCAUCGGCUAACUCCGUGCCAGCAGCCGCGGUAAGACGGAGGAUGCAAGCGUUAUCCGGAAUCACUGGGCGUAAAGCGUCUGUAGGUGGUUUAAUAAGUCAACUGUUAAAUCUUGGGGCUUAACCUCAAAAUCGCAGUCGAAACUAUUAGACUAGAGUAUAGUAGGGGUAAAGGGAAUUUCCAGUGGAGCGGUGAAAUGCGUAGAGAUUGGAAAGAACACCGAUGGCGAAGGCACUUUACUGGGCUAUUACUGACACUCAGAGACGAAAGCUAGGGUAGCAAAUGGGAUUAGAUACCCCAGUAGUCCUAGC
Molecule: ribosomal RNA, 758 nt
Filed under: uncultured bacterium
Lineage: Bacteria
Description: bacterial SSU rRNA
Rfam family: Bacterial small subunit ribosomal RNA
Source: RNAcentral